GGCGGACGGGUGAGUAAUGCCUAGGAAAUUGCCUUGAUGUGGGGGAUAACCAUUGGAAACGAUGGCUAAUACCGCAUAAUGCCUACGGGCCAAAGAGGGGGACCUUCGGGCCUCUCGCUUCAAGAUAUGCCUAGGUGGGAUUAGCUAGUUGGUGAGGUAAUGGCUCACCAAGGCGACGAUCCCUAGCUGGUCUGAGAGGAUGAUCAGCCACACUGGAACUGAGACACGGUCCAGACUCCUACGGGAGGCAGCAGUGGGGAAUAUUGCACAAUGGGCGAAAGCCUGAUGCAGCCAUGCCGCGUGUAUGAAGAAGGCCUUCGGGUUGUAAAGUACUUUCAGUUGUGAGGAAGGGGGUAGCGUUAAUAGCGCUAUCUCUUGACGUUAGCAACAGAAGAAGCACCGGCUAACUCCGUGCCAGCAGCCGCGGUAAUACGGAGGGUGCGAGCGUUAAUCGGAAUUACUGGGCGUAAAGCGCAU
RNAcentral lists this ribosomal RNA (477 nucleotides) under uncultured Vibrio sp. RNAcentral describes it as "bacterial SSU rRNA". It matches the Rfam family "Bacterial small subunit ribosomal RNA", at positions 97 to 570 of the family's 1533-position model. The record is from RNAcentral. Lineage: Bacteria; Pseudomonadati; Pseudomonadota; Gammaproteobacteria; Vibrionales; Vibrionaceae.